GAGGGUUAUACAGAGCUGUACGUGCUUGUAGUCGGAGCAAUGCGUAAAGGACGUUUGUUUCUCGUAAUAGUAAAAUAAAACACUUUGGUAUGCAGUUGUUCAGCAUUUAAUUUUCUCUUGCUGAAGUAGUCGUUUAAUACGUCGAGUCAAAUGAUAUGUACGUCGUUAACAAAACCGUGUUUAUGCGUUUUAAACGCACUACUGUACACGGCGUGCAGUUCUCAUUGAUUUGAAUGCCGGAACUCGACGGUAUUUCCGGUAAAGCAGAAAGGGAUUUUUCCGGGUCGUGGCAGUUUCUCGUGGAGGUGCUGUGUGGGUGACUCCAUACUCAGUUUACAUCAGAAUGAUGGACAUCACUGAGGGAACAAUCCUGAAAAAAUACACACUUUAAUAAUGGGAUACAAAGGCUGGUUGACACAAAUUUUGAGUGUUGGAGUGUGUGAGAGAGAGAGAGAGAGAGAGUGAGCAUGAGUGUGAGUGAGUGAAUCAAUCAAUCGAUGCAAUAGAAUGGUGUCUAUACACCACGCUCAACUUUCAUAAUAAACCUUAUUUUUCAUACUAAA
Long non-coding RNA from Brienomyrus brachyistius, 563 nucleotides. RefSeq lists it as uncharacterized. NCBI's taxonomy places the organism in Eukaryota, Metazoa, Chordata, Actinopteri, Osteoglossiformes, Mormyridae. The transcript is spliced from 2 exons. The record is from RefSeq and is a predicted model, not a curated record.